This 520-nucleotide ribosomal RNA is filed under the name uncultured bacterium. Its description in RNAcentral is "bacterial SSU rRNA". It matches the Rfam family "Bacterial small subunit ribosomal RNA", at positions 355 to 891 of the family's 1533-position model. The record is from RNAcentral.
UGGGGAAUCUUGGACAAUGGGGGCAACCCUGAUCCAGCCAUGCCGCGUGAGUGAUGAAGGCCUUAGGGUCGUAAAGCUCUUUCGCCUGUGAAGAUAAUGACGGUAGCAGGUAAAGAAACCCCGGCUAACUCCGUGCCAGCAGCCGCGGUAAUACGGAGGGGGUUAGCGUUGUUCGGAAUUACUGGGCGUAAAGCGCACGUAGGCGGAUCAGAAAGUUGGGGGUGAAAUCCCGGGGGCUCAACCCCGGAACUGCCUCCAAAACUCCAUGGUCUAGAGUUCGAGAGAGGUGAGUGGAAUUCCGAGUGUAGAGGUGAAAUUCGUAGAUAUUUGGAGGAACACCAGUGGCGAAGGCGGCUCACUGGCUCGAUACUGACGCUGAGGUGCGAAAGUGUGGGGAGCAAACAGGAUUAGAUACCCUGGUAGUCCACACCGUAAACGAUGAAUGCCAGUCGUCGGGUAGCAUGCUAUUCGGUGACACACCUAACGGAUUAAGCAUUCCGCCUGGGGAGUACGGUCGCAG